Molecule: ribosomal RNA, 1167 nt
Filed under: Triticum aestivum (bread wheat)
Lineage: Eukaryota; Viridiplantae; Streptophyta; Magnoliopsida; Poales; Poaceae
Description: partial small subunit ribosomal RNA
Source: RNAcentral
AUGGCGUGUCUGAGAAACACCGGCGGAUCGGCACACCAACGAACCAUCCAUCGAACAGAUCAAAGGAACCGAAAUCGCAUCAAGAUUUCACCAAAUCUGAAAUCCCUAGGACGCAAGCCGAGGCGAUCUAAACCACAAAGACAACAAGUCCGCGAUCUCCCUCACACGAUCCCCUUAACAACGCAACGGGAUUUUUCCUUUUAUCUAUCCAUCUUUUUCUCCCAAAAAAACUGCCCCCUCCCCUCACCCGCACACCUCUUCCCACGACCCCGUCGCCCGUCGGUUCGCCACCGCCGCCCCACGCGAUGCCGGCCAUCUCUCCCCUAUUUCUAUCUUCUCCCAUCCCACACGACAAGAGCGCGGCGGAGGGCGACCGCCAUUUCUCUCUCCCUCGCCCCCCUCCGCCUCACCCGUCUCUGUCUCCUCUCCCGCACCCCCGACACGGCCUCAUGCUUCCAGGCGCUCGCCUGGAAGGAGGCAGCCGCCUCAACAGUCUUCGGUGCCGGUGUGGGCACGGGGAGCGGGCUGCUUUCGAUGCUUGACCCGACGCUCACCAACGAGGAGCAGUACUGCCGUGAGCGCACCCAGCUUCAGUAUUAUCUUUAUCUAAUUGCUUGUCAAGUUGCUAAUUGGAGUCUUCAGAUUCUUAGUUACAUUGUAGGAUCGACAAAUUAUCAAGCACACAUGGUACGAUCAUCAAGUAGUCGUGCGGUGUAUUGCAACAGCCGUGAGGUAAAUGAGAGGGGAGAUCCAGGCGCCGGAGAGGAGGAAGAAGUGUGCGAUGGUGGUGAGGUGGAAUCUGCACAAGCUAAGAAUCAGGCACUAAGGGAUGCUGGGGCUGUUGUUCCUACUUCAUUGGAAACUCUUGAAAGGAUUAAGGAGACAUUUCAGAAGUUGGUUGAGGAAGGAACAAUUCCUCCUGUCCCUGAGGUUACACCUCCCCCCAUUCCUGAGGAUCUUAAAAUUGCCAUUAAAAGUGGGAAGAUCCCUUCAAUGCUAACAAUGUAUGAGAUAGCGAUGGAAAUUCCAAGGGUACCACAAGAGAUGAUUCUGAGAAGGGGUAAGGGGAAGGUCCUGAAAAGGAACAAGCUGGAGAAGAUAGAUCUUAUCACCAAAUAUACGUGGAGGAAGAUGAAGAAGCAAGACCCUAAGAUGGACGACUCUUAG